Molecule: ribosomal RNA, 440 nt
Filed under: uncultured bacterium
Lineage: Bacteria
Description: partial 16S ribosomal RNA
Rfam family: Bacterial small subunit ribosomal RNA
Source: RNAcentral
CCUACGGGUGGCAGCAGUGGGGGAUAUUGCACAAUGGGGGGAACCCUGAUGCAGCGACGCCGCGUGGGUGAAGAAGCGCCUCGGCGCGUAAAGCCCUGUCAGCAGGGAAGAAAAUGACGGUACCUGAAGAAGAAGCCCCGGCUAACUACGUGCCAGCAGCCGCGGUAAUACGUAGGGGGCAAGCGUUAUCCGGAUUUACUGGGUGUAAAGGGAGCGUAGACGGCAGCGCAAGUCUGGAGUGAAAUCCCAUGGCUUAACCAUGGAACUGUUGUGGAAACUGGGCAGCUAGAGUGCAGGAGAGGUAAGCGGAAUUCCUAGUGUAGCGGUGAAAUGCGUAGAUAUUAGGAGGAACACCAGUGGCGAAGGCGGCUUACGGGACUGUAACUGACGUUGAGGCUCGAAAGCGGGGGGAGCAAACAGGAUUAGAUACCCCAGUAGUC